This 500-nucleotide ribosomal RNA is filed under the name uncultured bacterium. Its description in RNAcentral is "bacterial SSU rRNA". It matches the Rfam family "Bacterial small subunit ribosomal RNA", at positions 396 to 911 of the family's 1533-position model. The record is from RNAcentral.
ACCGCGUGUGCGAUGAAGGCCUUCGGGUUGUAAAGCACUUUUCAGAAGGAAGAGGAAGGACUGUACUUCUGGAAUAAGUCUCGGCUAACUACGUGCCAGCAGCCGCGGUAAUACGUAGGAGGCAAACGUUAUCCGGAUUUACUGGGCGUAAAGCGCGUGUAGGCGGUUUGAUAAGUUGGACGUGAAAGCUCCCGGCUCAACUGGGAGAGGUCGUUCAAUACUGUCAGACUUGAGGAUGGUAGAGGGAGGUGGAAUUCCGGGUGUAGUGGUGAAAUGCGCAGAUAUCCGGAGGAACACCAGUGGCGAAAGCGGCCUCCUGGACCAUUUCUGACGCUAAGACGCGAAAGCUAGGGUAGCAAACGGGAUUAGAGACCCCGGUAGUCCUAGCUGUAAACGAUGUGAACUUGGCGUCGGUGGGAUUAAAUCCAUCGGUGUCGAAGCUAACGCGAUAAGUUCACCGCCUGAGGACUACGGCCGCAAGGUUAAAACUCAAAGGAAUU